RNAcentral lists this long non-coding RNA (208 nucleotides) under Physcomitrium patens. Its description in RNAcentral is "long non-coding RNA (PPAT_LNC014230)". Lineage: Eukaryota; Viridiplantae; Streptophyta; Bryopsida; Funariales; Funariaceae. The record is from RNAcentral.
AAUAUAAUGUUUUCAAGAGGUAGUAAUACAGCAAGAGUUGACAAAAUAAUACCACUCAAAUCCAACACACCAAGCUUAUCUUCAUCUACACUUACCACACAGUCAAUUUUUCUCAAUUUGUAUUAAUUCUCAUACAACUAGUUUGAACGCAAGUUUGCUUUGCCGAGUCUGAUCAAAUCUUCACUGCAGAGAACCCCUUUUUCUUUUC